GUUGUGGUCCAGCGCCUGUGAAGAUGGCGGCCGUUAACUCGGGUCCUGGGAGAGCAGCCUCCUGAGAAACUGCUGCCGGACCAAACGCCCUAAAGAGGUUGCCAGAGGACGAGGGAUUACGGUGAGGGAUCACAAGUCCAGCAUCACCUUGGAUCAAUGGAGGCAUUCAGUUUAUCACAACCAGAAUGUAGUUGGAUGUUAAACAUGAAAGGAAUGAGCACAGUUCACUGUGAAGAGAAACCCUGCACACGUCUUGUGCAUGGACAAGCCUUCAGCCAGUUUUCUGGUUCGUUGAAACACAAGUGCAGUCACACUAGGGAGUGACCGGGAAAUGUGGAGAUUGUGAUGAAGGAUUCAAAUCCCUGCCUGAGUUGGAUAUACAUCGGCGCAAUUGCACUGGGGAGAAGUGUAGGUAGUGGAAUGUCCCUUCCAAAUAAAAUAUCAGCUGUUUUGGGACUUUGAAAACAAUAUUAGCCAACUGAAUGGCAUGCUGGGAAAACUAGCCAACUGACCGGUAUGUUGGGAAUUGGAUGAAGCCAGACAGAUAUGCAAACCAUUCACUUUGAUUGACGAUUGAAUGGGUUGCUGAUGAGACACUGCUGCAAGCUUUUGUGCGGAACAAUAGACCUGAGUUUUAGUAGAACUGUUGUGGAGACAGCUUGGCUCGGAGGGUUGGUUCCAUCAAGCAGGAAAAUUACAACAUCCAGUACCAUCUUUUGUAACACCCUUCCUGUUGCAUCAAACUACAGCUAAGCCACUGUACUCAUGAAUGACUCAGAUAACUUGUUAAAAGAAGCCACUUAAAUCAGAGGGGUCUCUCUCACACUCCACAACAUCAGGACCAAGAAGCAGGAACCUUGGGAGCAGGAAGAACAUCCUCAACUCCAGUUCAACCAGCUCUAAUCGGGGAGUGAAUUGAAUUGCCUGAAGACCGGCAUCUGUGAUUUUUGGGAAAACUUGGAGGAGGCUGAGAUGGAUUAUCUACUUGACACUUUUAUUUCUGGCUGAAGAUGGCUGUGAAUGUUUCAAAAUUGUACUCUGAUUUGUUGGACUCUUCCAUGAAGGACGAUGGGGAUAUUCGUGGAGCUUCCUCUUCCAAAGUCAAUAAAAACCGCAUCCAGAUCAGAUAGUCGCUCCAUUUGUCACAAGCUAUUUAUCACAGGAGUUUGAACAUGGAAGGAAAACACACUGUUCUCUCUGGGGAGACCGUCUACACAUGUUCUGUGUCUAGAAGAGUCUUUGAAUAUUCAUCUCAAAUGUCCAAACACCAGCACAGUCACACUGGGGAGAGACUGUGUAAAUGUGGGGAUUGUGAGAAGGGAUUUUGUUACCCAUACCAGCUGGAAACUCACCUAUGCAGUCACAUUGGGAGAGACCAUUCAUUUGCACUGUGUGUGGGAAAAGAUUCACUGAGUCAUCCCACCUGCUGGUACACCAGUGAGCUCUCACUGAGGACAGACCUUUCAUACACCCUUGAGGGAAUGGAUUCACUUGGUUGUCCAACCUGCUCAAACACCAGUGAGUCCACAAUGGAGUGAGAUUGUUCACCUGCUGUCUGUUUGGGACGGGAUUCACUGAGUCACCCAACUUACUAACACGCCAGUGAGUUCACACAGAGAAGAAACCUCCCACCUGCUCUGAGUGUGGGAAGUUCACUUAGUCAAUGCACCUGCUGGAACACUAGUGAAUUCACAUUGGAGAGAAGCCGUUCACUUGCUGUAUGUAUAGGAAGGGAUUCACUCUGUCAUCCAGCCUGCUGAGACACUAGCAAAUUCACACUGCGGAGAGUAACCAUUCACUUGCUCCAUGUGUGGAAAAGUAGUUACUCUGUCAUCCAUCCUGCCAACACACCAGUGAAUUCAUAGACAACCACAGUUAAAGGAAUGAUGUCAAGCUCAUUGGCUUUUUUUUGAUAAUAUUAAACACUGCUGUGUUAAAUGCACAGAUUUUAGAACUGAAAUGUUAAUACAAUUGUGUGGCUAAAAGAUUGGGUUUUGGAAGUUAUUGUGCAUGCACACAUUCACACUGUGUUUGAAUUCCAUCAGUUGAAACAUUAUUUUGUGGUGUGUUUGAUGUUGCAGUGUGACAGGCAGCCUAAAGUACUGGAUUUAUGUGCCAGUCACUAUUUAGUAGUGAGUUCCACUGCAAUACGUCAUCUGAACGAGACUUGUUUCUUUGUGAAAAUAUCCGGAAAAGGAAGAUCAAAUGGUGAAAGCAGCAACAAUAUAACAAGCUCUGAAAGCUUGAAACAGUUUUCUUGAUGCUUGUGUUUCAGAUUUCCUGAGCCCUUCCCAUUUAGAAAAUAGUCAACACCUCUAUUCUCCUCACUAAAUUGCAUAACCCCACAGUUUCCCAUAUUGUAUUCCAUCUGCCACUUCUUUGCCCAUUCUCCUAGCCUAUCCAAACCCUUUUGCAGCUCUUUGCUUCUUCAACACUGACUAUCUCUCCAUGUAUCUUUAUCUCAACUGAAAACCUAGCUGCAGUACCAUCAGUUCCUUUGUCACGAUCGAAAAUGUAUAUUGUGAAUAGUUGUGAGCCCAAUAUUGUUCCUUAUAGAACUCCACUGGUCAGUGUUUGCCAUCCUCAAUAAGACUCCUUUAUGCCCACUCUUUGCUUUUGCCAAUCAUGCAAUCCUUUAUCCAUGCCAGAACCAGUCCCCUUACAUCAUGGGCUUUUAUGUUCUUCAGCAGUCUGAACUGCUUAGACUCCUCUCCUGCUUUGUGUUUUGGUAAAAUUCAGCCGUUCAUAUUCUUGGAUUGUUUUUCUAAACAUGAGGAGAACAAAUUCACAUGAUCAAAAUGAAUGUGUUGACCUAAUAUUGAAGAACAAGUUCUCAAACUGAGAUUAACAAGUUUGGUUACUUCCAGCUUUUAAAUAGGAUCACUUGUGUCAUCGAGUCAAACAGCACAGCAAUAGACCCUUCAGUCCAACGUGUCCAUGCCAACCAAGUUUUCCCAAAUAUACUAGCUUUGCUUGCCUGCAUUUGGCCAAUAUCACAGACUAAAAUCAGGAAAGAUGAGUAAUUAGGAGGGCUCACAUCUGUGAGAAACAGCCAAUAGAUUUGAAAUCUACCACCUUCACUGUUUGGCCAUGACUACAGGACAUAUAGCAUUGUUAAUAUAGCAGCUCUGCACCCUCUCAGGGACCCUCCCAUCCUUUUCAAUGUGUGGGUGAUCUCUAGAUUUCACACACUCUGAAGUACUGUGUUCCUGUGUGUAAUGUUAUCAUGAUAUUUGUACUGAACCUCACUGUCUGUAAGUGUGGUAGAUGCAGAAGUCCUGUGAACAUUUAAGAUGUGUUUAGAUGCAGACUUGUGAAAGCUCACAAGGCCAUGGGCCAAGUCCUGGAAAAUGGGAUUGGAAUAGUUAGGUGGUUACUUUUAACUGGCACAGACUCAAUGGCUGCAGAGCCUUUUUUUUUACUGUACCAUAUACCUCUGAGAUACAAUAGAGGAAUACAAUAAGCAACGUUUGAAACCAGAUCAGAGAAUGAGAUAUUAGACGAGAUGACUCAUCAAUGGUCAAAUCUUUCAGUUGGAAAGUGGAGUAAAGAGGCAGGGUGAUUUAUAAAAAGUUCUGGAGCUUGGGCCCUAAGUAUCUGAAAUUGCCACGCCAAGUGAAGAAUUCAAAAUGGAGUAUUCACACAAAGCUAUUAUUAGAGGAAAGUGCAUAUCUCAGAGAUUUAUGAGGUUGGAGGAGAUUACAGAUAGGGAGGGUUUUGAGGCUGGAGGAUAUUACACAGAUAGAUAGGAUUGUGAGGCUGGAGGAGAUUAUGGAGAUAGUGAGGGUUAUGAGGAUACAGGAGAUGACAGAACUAAGAAUGAAUGUGUAAGGGCUAGAGAAAUUGGUUCAAACAGGAAAUCCUCGCUGACAGAUAUGUCAGGGGUUCUGGUCAUUCCCGAAUCCAUGCCUGAGCUAGUUGCAUCACUAUUGUGAGCGACAUACAUGUCAGUAAAGGAUGACUGCUCUUUAUGGAGCUAUUUCAAGGGAGAAUUACGGAGAUAGGGAAGAUUGUGAGGCUGGAGGGGUUUACAGAGAUGGGGAGAGUUGGAGAGGCUGGGUGAGGUUACGGAGAUAGGGAGGUUUGUGAAGUCCGAGGAGGUUACACUGGUAGGGAGGACUGUGAGGCUGAAGGAGAUUGCAGAGAUAGAGUUUUGUCAGAUAUGGAUGGGGUUACAAAGAUAGGGAGGAUUGUGAGGCUGUUGGAGAAUGUGACCCAAACAACACUGUGGUGUACUUAAAGCACAUGCACUGCAUAGGUUCAAGAAGACAGUUAACGGCCACAUUCUCCAACUCAAAUUAAAGAUGGCCAGUAAAUACUGGCCUGGAAACCAUAGACCACGCUCCAUGAAUAAAUUAGCAUUUAUUUGGAUUUCUGUUUUGUAGAGACGUAUUAGUCAUCACAAUUUUGGACCACAGAAUCCAACUUUUAGAUAAUUGCCAAAUAGUGCAGGGUGAACAGGCAAAAUUUAUUUUACUCGGCAUUUGGAACAGUUAUUUCCAAAAGAGAUUUAGAACGUAGAAUUAGAAUUAGAUUUUAUUGUCACAUUUACUCAAGUAAUACAAAUAUAUGAGUGCAGCAAAAGGGGAACAAUGCUGCCAUUCUCCAGCUCUUAGACAACAAGGUGUCGAGCUGGAUGAACACAGCAAGCCA
Molecule: RNA transcript, 4653 nt
Organism: Stegostoma tigrinum
Lineage: Eukaryota; Metazoa; Chordata; Chondrichthyes; Orectolobiformes; Stegostomatidae
Gene name: zinc finger protein 239-like
Exons: 4
Source: RefSeq, a predicted model, not a curated record